GGCUACUGCUAUCGGGGUCCGACUAAGCCAUGCGAGUUGAGAGGGGUAAGCCCUCGGCGAAUUGCUCAGUAACACGCGGACAACCUGCCCUUGGGUCCGGGAUAACCCCGGGAAACUGGGACNAAUACCGGAUAGAUCAAGGAUACUGGAAUGUUCCCUGGUCUAAAACUCCGGUGCCCAAGGAUGGGUCUGCGGCCUAUCAGGUAGUAGUGGGUGUAACGUACCUACUAGCCUACGACGGGUAAGGGUUGUGAGAGCAAGAGCCCUGAGAUGGAUUCUGAGACAUGAAUCCAGGCUCUACGGGGUGCAGCAGGCGCGAAAACUUUACACUGCGGGAAACCGCGAUAANGGGGACCCCGAGUGCCAGCACCUAGUGCUGGCUGUCCCGCUGUCUAAACAACAGUGGUUAGCAAGGGCCGGGCAAGACCGGUGCCAGCCGCCGCGGUAACACCGGCGGCCCGAGUGGUAGCCGUUAUUAUUGGGUUUAAAGGGUCCGUAGCCGGCCUGUUAAGUCUCUUGGGAAAUCUGGCGACUUAAUCGUCAGGCGUCCAAGAGAUACUGACAGGCUUGGGACCGGGAGAGGUGGGAGGUACUCCAGGGGUAGGGGUGAAAUCUCGUAAUCCUUGGGGGACCACCGAUGGCGAAGGCAUCCCACCAGAACGGGUCCGACGGUGAGGGACGAAAGCUGGGGGCACGAACCGGAUUAGAUACCCCGGUAGUCCUAGCCCUAAACGAUGUGGGCUGUGUGUCGGUCUCGACGCGAUCGAGACCGGUGCCGUAGGGAAGCUGUUAAGCCCACCACCUGGGGAGUACGGUCGCAAGGCUGAAACUUAAAGGAAUUGGCGGGGGAGCACCACAACGGGGAGCCUGCGGUU
This 875-nucleotide ribosomal RNA is filed under the name uncultured archaeon. Its description in RNAcentral is "bacterial SSU rRNA". It matches the Rfam family "Archaeal small subunit ribosomal RNA", at positions 22 to 902 of the family's 1478-position model. The record is from RNAcentral.